UACGUAGGUGACAAGCGUUGUCCGGAUUUACUGGGCGUAAAGAGCGCGCAGGCGGUCGAUCAAGUCGAGUGUGAAAGCCCCCGGCUCAACUGGGGAGGGUCAUUCGAUACUGAUCGACUCGAAGGCAGGAGAGGGUAGUGGAAUUCCCGGUGUAGUGGUGAAAUGCGUAGAUAUCGGGAGGAACACCAGUGGCGAAAGCGACUUCCUGGACCAAUACUGACGCUCAUGUGCGAAAGCGUGGGGAGCAAACAGG
This 253-nucleotide ribosomal RNA is filed under the name uncultured bacterium. Its description in RNAcentral is "partial 16S ribosomal RNA". It matches the Rfam family "Bacterial small subunit ribosomal RNA", at positions 524 to 776 of the family's 1533-position model. The record is from RNAcentral.